CCAUUGUAAUUUUUUCUUUCUAAUAGCCAUCUUUACUAGCUGUUAAAUGCCAUUCUUACUAAGUCCUUUGCACAGCUAUGAUUUUUUCACCUUAUUAAGGUGCCAUGCUUUUGAUGAGUGUUAUAAUGAAGUGUUUACCCAGAAAUUUCAUGUAUGGAAUAAUUCACAGUAUAAUUCAGUCUAUCCAAUUUGUGGUGCUUGCUAGUUGUCUCUGGUAUAGUUUCUCUCCAUUUUUUGAGUAUUGGAUUAGUUCGACAUGCAAUUAUUUGCAACCAUACUACUGUAUGGGUCAUUUUAUUUUUGUCAUAGUUUGAGGAAAUGCCAUGUUAUUUGGUAUAUCAUGAAAAAAGAAAGCCAUUUGCACCAAGCAUAUUGCAUUUUCCCUUGCCCAGAUGUUCGCCAUUGUAUGUCAAGCAAUGUUGACCUGCCGAAGCCUCAAGCCCCAAGGGCACCAUCUUCUAGCCUUUAGUAGUCCAAGUUCUUUGCAACCAUUCUACCAUAUGGGUUCAUUUUAUUUUUAUGUCAUAGUCUGAGGAAAUUUCAUUUUACUUCGUUUUUUUUUUUUUUUUUUAAUUUCAAGAAAAUUUAUGAGGAGGUAUUUCUUUGGAAAAUUGGGGAUGCUUAUCUGUCUACUUAGAAUGUGAAUCUAUGCUGGUAGUUAAAGAUAUUCAUUGGAUAGAUGGACUUCUUUUCUAAUAUGAUAGUGUGCUUGCACUAUUAAGGUAGGAGGGACUAGGGAGUAUGAUUUUGGAGGAAACUACACUAGAUAUGCCCAGUGGAAUAUUUUUCUUUCUUGCCAUGAAGUCUUUCACUCUCUCUUCUUUUUGUGCAUAUCAGAGUCGGUUCAACUCCCACUUUCACACUUCUUGCACUUUGUCUGCUUUUAAGUGCUUACUUUUGUUCGUGCCAGCUUAGCAAAGACUCUGUAAUAUAAUAUAAAACUGCAAACCCUCUACCAAUUAUUACAACUUAUUUUCUGGAUGCGCAAGUCUUCAUCUGGAUGAAUGUAGUUAGAUGUGUUCCUGUGUACUUCACCAUUUUACACUAUUUGAUUUUAUUUCUUCAACUGGCUCCAUGUUUGUGAGCUGCUGUUAACAAAUUGUUAUUGUUUGAGGCAAAGGCAAGAUGUGAGGUCUCCACACCUUCAUUUUCCCUAGGGCUUUAAUGCUUCUCCAGCUGUGAUGACUGAUUUGAAGACCAAACUUAAGUGACUAUUAAGUAGUAGUUUACGAGGCAAACGUGAUGGACCCAACUCCUGCCAAAGUCUUGAGGUGAAAUGUGGAACACUUAUGCUCCUGAAAAUGUGAGGAAUUGGCCUGACUAGUAGGAAAUCCUCGAGGUGUUCACUUUCCAGCCUAGAUACUCCGGACCACAUGCAUAUCCAACUUUGAGGUUGUGGCUGUUAGCUCUUGGAGUUUAACCUUCUACACUUGGAUAUAUGACAGCACUUCAAUCUUAAUGUUUAGUCAUCUGAACUCUCUUGCUAAGUUGUGAAAGCUUAUUGGCUCGAGCCAUAUUUUACUUUCCAAAAAUUUGUUAUUAAUGUGAAGAUGGCAUAAAUGAUUGACGUGAUAAAAGACCACGGUUACCUUAGUCCUUGGUUGACUUAAAGGAAAGGUUGUAGAAGUUACUUCGUUUAAAUUUCCCAUCUGUAUUCUUCAAGCAAGUAUAUGUGGUCAAUCAGGUUUCUAAUUGA
Long non-coding RNA from Juglans microcarpa x Juglans regia, 1696 nucleotides. RefSeq lists it as uncharacterized. The transcript is spliced from 2 exons. NCBI's taxonomy places the organism in Eukaryota, Viridiplantae, Streptophyta, Magnoliopsida, Fagales, Juglandaceae. The record is from RefSeq and is a predicted model, not a curated record.